Molecule: ribosomal RNA, 218 nt
Filed under: Tanaidacea sp. SMB-2011
Lineage: Eukaryota; Metazoa; Arthropoda; Malacostraca; Tanaidacea
Description: partial 28S ribosomal RNA
Rfam family: Eukaryotic large subunit ribosomal RNA
Source: RNAcentral
ACACUGACGACAUGGUUCUACACAGGUGGUAAACUCCAUCUAAAGCUAAAUAUGUCCCCGAGUCCGAUAGCAAACAAGUACCGUGAGGGAAAGUUGAAACAGAACUUUUGAAGAGAGUUAAAUAGUACGUGAAACCGUCGCGGGCUUAUAAAGCGAAUGGACGUUCAUGAUACGAAAAGAGUCUUUAGCCCUCGUCUGUUCACUUCGGUGUCUGAUCU